GAUGAACGCUGGCGGCGUGCCUAAUACAUGCAAGUCGAGCGAACAGACGAGGAGCUUGCUCCUCUGACGUUAGCGGCGGACGGGUGAGUAACACGUGGAUAACCUACCUAUAAGACUGGGAUAACUUCGGGAAACCGGAGCUAAUACCGGAUAAUAUAUUGAACCGCAUGGUUCAACAGUGAAAGACGGUUUUGCUGUCACUUAUAGAUGGAUCCGCGCCGCAUUAGCUAGUUGGUAAGGUAACGGCUUACCAAGGCAACGAUGCGUAGCCGACCUGAGAGGGCGAUCGGCCACACUGGAACUGAGACACGGUCCAGACUCCUACGGGAGGCAGCAGUAGGGAAUCUUCCGCAAUGGGCGAAAGCCUGACGGAGCAACGCCGCGUGAGUGAUGAAGGUCUUCGGAUCGUAAAACUCUGUUAUUAGGGAAGAACAAAUGUGUAAGUAACUAUGCACGUCUUGACGGUACCUAAUCAGAAAGCCACGGCUAACUACGUG
This 497-nucleotide ribosomal RNA is filed under the name uncultured bacterium. RNAcentral's name for it is "partial 16S ribosomal RNA". It matches the Rfam family "Bacterial small subunit ribosomal RNA", at positions 28 to 507 of the family's 1533-position model. The record is from RNAcentral.